AAAUCUUAUCUAUUCGUUUAUGGCAUGUUUGGUAUGUUAGACUAGACAAUAUUAAAGAAGAAAAAAAAGAAAAUCUAAACUCCAAGCGGUAUUGUCUACUACUGCGUGCCAACGUGUCGUGAAGGAGCAAAGACAUGAAAUAAAGUUACUUUUGUAUAGGGUUGUUGGUGCCAUUGUAAUAGUUAUGGGCCUUUAUCUUGUUAUUUGGGGUAAGAAGAAAGACUAUAAAUCCCAACGGAUCGAAGAAGAAGCAAUACCUGUGAAGCAAAUGACAGAACUAGACAACAAUGGCAAUGAACACUCAAUCCAUGAGGUCGUUAACAUCAAUUUGUCUAAAGAAGGAGCUGUAGAUGGAGAUGAACAGCUAGCUACUCGCUGUUAACGUUCGAAAUGGAGUUUUUCGGUCUCCAAUACUCAAGUAGUAUGGCGAACUUUGAAUAACAAAGCUGAUAUGUAACUUGUUACAGCGAAGUUUCUAAAUUCAAGAAUUUUGUAGUUAAUGAUAUUUUAGUUGAAAAGUAGUUCAUCCCAACAAAUUGAAAUUUCAAAAUUUCAAAAUUGCAAUAGUUCAUAAGCAAAACCCUUUAUCGAAGUGGAAUGAAGUGACAAUGUGGAAUAAUAACUUCUAACUAAGCUUUAUUCUUAUAUUUGAAGUCGGCUAUCUACAUUCUUUUAGGCAAAAUAAUGAUCGAUUUAUUUUUAGAUUUACAUAAACAUGUAAAGCAACUAGAUCAUUAACAACUACAUCAAACUAUGUUAGUUUUUUAUUACAUGUAAUAAUAUUUUUAAGAUUUUAGUUUGUUUGAUGGUGUAAAAAAGUAAAAAACAAUGGUUACUUUGUCCAGUCUCUACUAAUGAACCCCGAGAAUGGUAUACUACAUAAUACUGGCAUCUUAAUUUAAUUGUUGGGUAAAAUCUAAAUCAAUAAAAACGGAUUACAACAUAUACAAUUUGAAUUUCAAAUCUCACCUCCAUGCAUAUUUCUUUCCAACGACUUAAAUUGUUAGAUGAGAUAGUUUCACACGGCUUUAGAGUAGAUAAAGAUUUCAAUUUCAAAUCUCAUCAUCACUCGUGUAUGAAUAUUAUGCACAUUUCUCUCCGACGACUUAAACUUUUAGAUGGGAUAAUCUAUGGUAUUAGAAUAGAUAAAAAUUUUGGGCUUAGCCCCUAUUUGACAACUAUUAUUUGGGAUAAUCAAUAUUUUGAAUAGUGAUUUUUAGGAGAAUAUACAGUUAAAAAGUAAGAAAAAGUUUUGGGUUUACGUAUUUAAUAUUUUACUGUGUGAAUGUUUGGUUAAAAAUGAGUAUGUAGAAAAAAGAGUUUUCAAAUGAUGAUUGUCAAAUAAGGGCAAAUCUCACCAUCAUCAAGUACGGAGAUUAUGCACGUAUCAAAUCUUCUCUAAUACUUCAAACCUUUAUGUGAAAUUAAGAACAAUAAUAAAAUUAAUAUAUUCGUCCUUGGUGGCGUGCACCUAGUAGUCCAAUCAAUUCAAGGGGUUAACUCAAUUAUUUUCAACUUUCUUAUUUUCUUUCUUAUAUAAUGAAGAAGUUUCCAAUAGAACUGGGAUGUUUAAUGCAAUGCCAAAGCAGAAUGCACAAAAAAUAACGAAGUGGGCAAAUCGUCAAAAGUAUUGAUUCAAAAGCAUAAUGCCUUCAAUAAGAUAAAUGGAUCAAUUUCCAGUUUUAAUUAUGUUCAUAAUAUAGCCUGGUUGAAACUGAUUUGGGCAGAUUUCAUCCACAAUUUCUUCAUUCUAGUAACCAUCAAAAUAAAUUGGAAAUCGGAUGCAUAAAUACAUUUUUGCCAUUCUAUGCUAUUUAUUACCACGUCAUUUUUGGUUUAGCUAAAAAUUAGAUUUUUAAUAGAUUUUAACAAAAAUUGAUUUAAAGAACAAGGAAAAGAAAAGUGCUGCAGGCAAAAAUUGGCAAAAUUAUAGAUUGAACGGUUAUAGUAGACUCGUGAUUUGAGCGGACAGUCUGCAUAUAGAGUGUUCCACUGAAGUUUCUUUCAUAUUUAAUCGAUGUUAUCUUAAUUUGUUAACGUACGUUUUCAUUUCUUAUCUUGUUCAUUUAAAUAUGACUUCACUUUCAUCUUUUUUUAAUCUCUAGACAUCGUGUCCUUUACCAAACUAAAGUAGAAGUUACUCCCAUCACAUAUUUUUCCAUUCAAACGUGAAGGAAUCAUUAGAGUCAGAAAAGAGAGAAGGUUAAAAGGGUAGACGUAACUCUUACAUUGAAAGCAAACCGUUGUAAAAUGGGUUUUUUUACUUAACUUGUUUUCAUAGCAUUCCUAUAAAAAAGAGCAAUCGCAAGGCUUUUUACUCAGAAUCUAUUCCUAUCAAGUGGAGCAGAACCAAAUGAAGAAAACUGAACAAGAAAACCAUGCAGAAUAAUGUAGAAAAACUAUUAUAAAUUGAGAGCUUAGCCGACUUACUGGGAUAUCUUGCCCAUUAAUUCAUUGAGGGUUGAUUAUUCGUCUUUAGCUUAUCAAUCUCCCUCUUCCCAAGAUUGAGUUGUGCGGAUCGAAACUGUGAUAAAUGAAGAAACAUAUAUCAACAGAGACAAUAUGCGGUAAACUUCACAAGGCUAAACCCUUCUUUGCUGUAGUUUUUCUGCAAUUUGGUCUUGCAGGAAUGGAUAUCCUUUCUAAAGCUGCAUUAAAUGAAGGGAUGAGUAACUACGUAUUGUCGUCUAUCGACAUGCCAUAGCCACAAUUGUCAUUGCCCCUUUUGCACUCAUUCUGGACAAGUCAAUCUCUCUCUCUCUCUCUCUAUAUAUAUAUAUUCUAGUUCAUGUGAAGUAAGCAGGCUAAAAUUUUCUUUCCACAGGAAAAUAAGGCCUAAGAUGACUUUUUCAAUAUUUGGCAAGAUAAUGCUUCUUGGCUUAUUGGAGUAGGUCUCUUAAUAGCUAAUUACUGCAUUUUACCUUUUGUGUUCCGCAAUAUCUGGUAAUAAGAUUUGAGGAUUUUACCAUAACAGGCCAGUUGUAGACCAAAACCUAUACUUCCUAGGGAUGAAAUACACAACUGCAACGUUUGCUGCUGCUAUGUGCAACGUACUUCCUGCCAUUACACUCGUCAUGGCCUGCUUCUUCAGGUGGAUAUCGUGAUGCUUCUGACAUGUUUGGUAUAUAGUACUGAACUGCAUUGUAUAAUACAAUUGAUACAAAAUUUAAUGGGUUUUUCUUCCUUAUUUUUGUCCAGUCUAGUAUAACGAGCAUGCGCAUGCAUAGUAAUAUUAUAUGAUAACUACACAACGUGCAUCUCUGCUUACACAAUAUUAAUAAAAAAUAUUGUUAUAUACCUUUGACAUAGGCUCGAGAAAUUUAAGGUAAAGAGCAUCCACAGCCAAGCCAAGUUAGCUGGAACUGUGGCAACUGUGGCAGGAGCCAUGCUCAUGACUCUAUUAAAAGGUCCAAUCAUAGAGCUGCCAUGGACAAAAGGAAGCAGCGGCAGCCAUGAACAACGAAGAGUUGAAAUAAAUCUUCAUCGUUCAAUCAAGGGUUCCCUAAUGAUCACAGUCGGAUGUUUCAGCUGGGCUUGCUUCAUGAAUUUGCAGGUGACAAGUGUUACACAGUACUAGAAGAUUCUAAUCUCGUCCAGCAACAUCUAGUCCAACCUAUCAAACAAGCCAUUUACGAUCGUGCUAACUCUUGCUCGUGUAUUUAUAGGCAAUCACACUAAGAACAUAUCCUGCUGAACUUUCUCUCACAGCUUGGAUAUGCCUGUUGGGGACAGCCCAGGGUGGAAUAGUGGCAUUAGUAAUGGAGAGGGGGAAAGCUGCAGUCUGGUCUAUAAACUGGGACUCCAAAUUUCUUGCAGCUGUCUACAGUGUAAGAAGAACAUAUUGAAACAAUUUAUUUCAUAUUAUGUUCAACAUUGAUGACGAGACUUUGACCUCGACCAAUCCUGAUUGUUAAAUGUUUAAACAAAUGGCAACCCCAGUAAACUGUAAUGACAUGUUUGAUAUAUUGGACCAAACAAAACUUGAGAGAACGACUCAGGAAAUUUUACCGUGCAUCUCUUUUAAUAUUGUCUAAUCAUGUUCAGUCCAACGUACCAAAUAUGCUAGUUCGGUGCAAGAAGAUAACCCUUGAUUAAACCAUUAGCACUCAAAUUAUUCCAAGUUCAUUCAAAAUACUUCCAAAUUUUGACCCAAAAAAGCUCAUAACCAAAUAUUGCAGGGCAUAUUUUGUUCAGGAAUUGCUUACUACAUCCAAGGAGUGGUAAUGAAAGAGAGAGGCCCUGUUUUUGUAACUGCCUUCAGCCCCUUGAGCAUGAUUAUUGUUGCUGUGCUGAGCUCUUUUAUUUUGGCCGAGCAAAUGUUCUUAGGAAGGUGAGUAUAAGCCUCUCCUACAAAUCUUAUCUAUUCGUUUAUGGCAUGUUUGGUAUGUUAGACUAGACAAUAUUAAAGAAGAAAAAAAAGAAAAUCUAAACUCCAAGCGGUAUUGUCUACUACUGCGUGCCAACGUGUCGUGAAGGAGCAAAGACAUGAAAUAAAGUUACUUUUGUAUAGGGUUGUUGGUGCCAUUGUAAUAGUUAUGGGCCUUUAUCUUGUUAUUUGGGGUAAGAAGAAAGACUAUAAAUCCCAACGGAUCGAAGAAGAAGCAAUACCUGUGAAGCAAAUGACAGAAAUAGACAACAAUGGCAAUGAACACUCAAUCCAUGAGGUCGUUAACAUCAAUUUGUCUAAAGAAGGAGCUGUAGAUGG
Molecule: long non-coding RNA, 4705 nt
Filed under: Olea europaea (common olive)
Lineage: Eukaryota; Viridiplantae; Streptophyta; Magnoliopsida; Lamiales; Oleaceae
Description: long non-coding RNA (OEUR_LNC004092)
Source: RNAcentral